GGGCGUGGAACUUGAAUCUGCUCUCAUCAGCCACGCUCGUUCACCAGAUACACAUUUGAAGCAGUUCUAACAGAAGAAAGGAGUGUUUUGGGCAGUAAUGCGCCAUAACGUUGGAUGCCAACCGCUGAUAAACCCCACAGGCGAAGAGUGUAGUUGUUGAUUGCUAAAUCUCGGUUGGGAAUAUGCAUGUUUACCGUUGAUCUCCGGUAUGUGUGAGGAGAGGAGCGGCGCAGGCUUUCUAAUUAAACUCUUCAAUUCAACUUUUGAGGAUGGUGCCCCAUAAUGCUUGAAAUGCUACUCAGCUCAAUGUGCUGGGACAGAUAGAGCUGACACAACAUGUAUAACACUUGUGAAAAUGCCAGAUCAAGAGAAUGGAGCGACGGUGACGGAUACAGCUGCCAUAGUAUGACUCACUGGGAAGGUGAUCCCCCAGCUGGAGAAAGACAGUACCUCACCCAACAGGCAAGGGAACACCAGUGGCUGAACCGUGAGGAUGAAGCUGCCGUGCGGGCCCACUACAACUCCCAUCAACAAAACUCUCAGAUGGACUUCCGUGGACAUCGGACACAAGAGACCCAGCCGCCUCCUCUGUAUCAUCAGGACCAUCACAGAAGUCAGAACAUAAGGGAUAGGCCCAAUCUCUAUGGACCCUUGAGAGAACAGGCACCUCCUAAUGUAACCUUACACUGCAGUGGAGAGAGAACAGAAACGUGGGCUAACCAUGAACCCCACUUCCCCAGCAAUGACUUUUUACCCCCACUCAACGUCGAAAGAGGGCAUGAGGAUAUUUCCCAUCACCAUAACACCGACCAGGAUUAUCUGGUGAAUAAUAACAAUCUCCAUUACUUGGAAAGCAAAUGGCAGAUGUUCGAUCCCACCCAUUCCAAUGGACAUGCUAGAGGACAUUGCAAUGUACAUUCAAGGGGAUAUUUUACUGAAUGCUCAAGGGGACGUUCUAGGGGUGGUUCCCGUGAAAAUUCUAGGGGUGGUUCUAGUGUAUGUUCUUGGGGUGGUUCCAGGGGUCGGUCUAGUGGACGUUCUCGGGGUGGUUCCAGGGGUCGGUCUAGUGGACGUUCUCGGGGUGGUUCCAGGGGUCAGUCUAGUGGACGUUCGGGGGCCCAUUCCAAAGCAGCCAGCCAUGGUAUACUAGGACCUAGUGUUCCUUCCCAAGCUAUAACACAAAAAACAGAUAAUCUUCCUGGCAAUGUUGCUCUUGUUUCUCACACCCAGACCUCUGUCACCACUGACCAGCAAUAUGCUCCCUCUCCUCCCAAACCUCUCAGUGAGACACUUCAGGAAAAACCUCCUGAUAAACACAAGAUCUCACUCAAUGAAAUACAGGACUGGCUCCACAGUGUUUUAAGAUCUAAAAAUGGACCCAUAAAUGGGAACAACUCAACACAAGACCCCUCCCAGGCACAACAAUUCAGCACAGAGAAGAUGGAUAUUUUACAAGCAGGCAAAAGGCACCUACAUAGUAACACCAAAGACAACCAGGCGAGGCCCCCUGAGAGGUUUAGUCCUGAGGACUCCACUAUACGGCUGGAGAUUAAGUCCACCCCCAGGUGCAUGACCCUGACGGCAGUCGCCACCACACCGCCCCCUGUGGCUAUUGUCCCUCCAAUGGGUCCACAGCAGUCCCCAGAGCCAAUGGAGACAGAGAAUACAGGCAAUGAGCUGCCAUUUAAGAUUUUACGGGCCUGGUCCAUCAAAGAACAACAAGUGGAAAGCCUGUGGGAAAGAGCUAAAGAUGAUGCAAGUUCUCUCUCUGUCCGAAAUGAGCCGGUUCAAGUUGAGAGUUUUAUGGAGUAUGAUAAGCCUGUAGAUGCAUUUGCAACAAGUUCACUGGCAUCUACUGGAGAGGACAAUGAUGAGGUCCUUCAGGUCAUCACACAGACGGACAAGAGUUCACCUUCACCAUUUGUCCACACCAUCCCUCAGGCAACUGAUAUUGUACGCAAAGGAGGUACCCAGACAAUCGUGGAAGUUAGCUCCAACGGCGCAGAUGAGAGAUCUCUUGUUCUGUCCACAAUUGCUGAAGUUCAGUUCAAGUUACGUACGCUGCAGCAACUGGUUACUUAUCGGGAGAAUGCAGCAACAAUCACAGAGGCAAAGGAUGGUUGUCUAGAAGCCAUAUUGGAGCAGUAUUGGGGCGGGGAAACCUCUAACCUGGUAGAAGCUUUAAAAGAUAAAAGGGAUAAGGAAAUCAUGCGAGAUGUGUCUGCCUGGGCCGCAGAGGAUGAGGAAGCAGUGGUUCUCUUUGCAGUCAGUGGUAUAUCACUGGAGGAAGUGGUCGAGAAGUUUCCCAUUCCAGCGCAUGUUGACAGCUCUUCCCAAGUGGGUUACAGGUCAUCCUGGUUAAAUGUCAACGAGAAGCUGAAUGACAUUGACAAAGAAUCUGGAAGAGCUUGGUCUCUCUGGUUCAUACCAGAUAAAGCAGAGGAGAGUUCCAAAGUUGUUGGGGGAGUCAAAAUGGAUGACACCUUCCACAGCAAGAUGGAGACUGUGGAAUUUCCUGCACGACAACCUGUUGAAGCAACAGGCUCAGACCUCACAAAAAACAUAGACCUCAUGAUGGUUGCAGACUCCUCAACAGACACAGACCUCCCAACAGAUGCAGACUUGGAGACCGAACCCCUUUCCCCAAUGAUUUUGACCGUCCUCACACCAGAGGAUGCUGUGAAACUGCUUGCUGAAACAGAGGCACCAGGCGCAGACCUCACAACAGACUCAAACUGCCCAACAAAUGCAGACCUCACAACCGACUCGGACACAGACCCCCUUUCCCCAAUGCAUUUGACCGUCCUGACAUCUGAGGAUGCCAUGAGACUGUUUUGCCAGAUCGAAAAUGGCUCUGACCUCCAACUCGGGUCCCAUGAACCAUGCUCUGAAGACAAAGACGAGACAAAGACAAAGCAACAAGAGAAUAUAGAAAGUGGCAGCUUAGAUAAGUCCUGCUACUGUCCUUGUAUUAUUGAAACUGACAAUGGGUUUGAAAGUGGCCUAUGCACCAGUUGUCAGAGGGAGAAAGGACUGCAGCAAGGUACAAGUUGCUUAACAAUCGCUCAAUGCUUUACCCUGUUAGAUACAAGCGACAAUUCAGAUCAGGAGACAGAAGAGGUCCCUAAGGACUCUGGGGGGAAGGCGACUGGGGACAAUCAAUGCAGGGACAAGAAGCAGAUGAUACAAUCAACUGAAGAAGAGGGUGAUGACAAUCAAUCCUGUGACAAUAAGACAGAGGGAGAAAUGCAGCAAUGUACAGGUGUCAUACCGAUCACUGACUUUUUUUUCUGGUCAGAUACAAUUGAGGAUUCAGAUCAGGAGACAGAGGAGAACCCUAAUGAACAACAUGCUCAGAUUGAGGCUCAUGCUUCUAAUGUUAAAAGGACAGAGCCUGAAACUGAUGCCAAAGCACCCUGUGAGUCAGCCCAAGAACAUACUACCCAAAGCAAAGUCAGUCCUGGUUCUGAGGAUAGGGAAAUGCCGCAAGAGAAGGACCAAGACUGUAGGAGGAGUACAUUACCAAUUCCCAAGUUUGAAAACCCUUCUAAGUUAAGAGCUAUCAUCAUAGCAGACAAGUGGUGUUCACCUGUAGAGGACUGUGGUUCACCUGCAGAGAAGUAUGACAAAGUUGCUGACUUUGUCACUCAAUACAAAACCUGCAACUCAAAGAAAAAUGGAAAAGAAAAAAUGGAAAAGGAGGAAACCCUCCAUCCAACAUCAUCUGACAGACAAAAGCCCAAGAAACGCCAUGGGAGAGCAGAGAGAGGACAGUCACCAUCCCAACCCCCUAAGAGCUCUGGGGUGAAGGCAACUUUGAAUAAUCAACGCAGGGACAAGAAGCCACAUGCGUCACACAAGAGGAGACAUUUGACUGAGAGGGAUGAAAGUCGAUGCAAAGACAAGAAGAGGGGAUCAUCAACUGAGAAAGAGCGUGAGGGCAGUCAAUCCAGGGACAAUAAGCCACCGAAGAGGAGACAUUCAACUGAGAAUGAGAGUGAGGAUAAUCAAAGUAGAGGCAAGAAGGGGAGACUUUCAAUGGAACAACUGGGUGAGGCCAGUCAAUCUAGUGACAAAACGUCGCAGAAGAGGAGAAAUUCAAAUAAAACUGAAAGCAGGAACUCCAAAGAGUUCCAGUUCCAGUUGGUGGAAAGCGACAGAGGCAGUAAGAAGUCAUCGCCGUGCCCUGGGGUGAAAACCCUCCAUGUGCUGGGAUCCUCAUCUACCACUGUUCCUCUCAAACUCUCCCUAAACAUCCGCAAAAAGCCUUCCACAAAUGGCUCACCCUCAACACAUACUGAGGAAGUCGCCAAAAGGCCAAAGACUAAAACCCCAUACAAAACUAGCAGACACCACUCCCCUGCAAUGUCAGUGUCUCCUGUUGUCAAAGAGAGGCAGAGGAACGGUGUGAAACACAAGCAAAAAAUUCAACCCCUAAAAGUCAGAUUGAAAAAUCUGUCCUUACCCAAACAUCUUGUCAGGAAAGGUUCCCCACCAAGGCAGAAGAGGGUGGAGGAUAGAGGAGACCCUCUGAGUUUAGGGGUAAUGGUCUCUAAGAAUCCUGACUCGUGCAAGAAACUAAAACGUAAGGCAGAGAGCGACUUGACAUCCCAACAGAUGUUGUCAAAGAUUCCGAAGGUGUUGAAUAGGAAUAAGACAGGAAAGUUGUCAAAAAGCGAGCGUGAGUGCGACUCGCUGCCCCGCAAGCCAAAGCUGCCAAGAAUUCUGAAGCUUCUAAGAACUCCAGAGGUUUCAAAGGAUGGGAAUGAGAGAGAGAACAGAGAAGAGACAUCUCCCAGUGCUUCACCUGAAUCACAAAUGCUGAACAAACCUGCAAGAGUGGCACACAAGCCCAAACCUUGUAUCAAGCCUGCCAGUCCCAAUGGUUAUAGCCCAGGUAGUCAUGCUUGCUCUAAUCCGGCUAGGAUAUCACAGCAACAUAGCAAUGGACAUUUUGGGGCAAAAGUUACUGCGAGGCAGCAGGUGUUCUCAGAUUGGGAGAGCAGCUUUGUCCCGACUCCAACCCCCCGGACUCGUAGACGAUCAGGGUGUUCUCCAGAGGAAGUGGAAGGUCCACAGGCCAGUCCCAGGUGCAGCUCGGAGACCAGGAUCAUUCGACCCAUUCUAAAACGUGUCGAUGCUCCGCCAAAACCCAAGCGGAAUGUCAGCUUUCCUUUGAAUCCAAUGAACGUGCACUACUUCAAUCCCCGUGAAUAUGAAAAUCACGUAAUGUUCAACAGGUCUUACACAGAUCCGGAAGAUGCACAGCCUUCUGACGAUGAAGAGGAAGAUGCUUCUGUGAACUGCCAGAAUCUGAAGGAACAGUCCCCUCUUAGGGAAGAGAAGCGGCAAGAUCUAGGGGAGCUGAAGCCUGGACCAAGCGCUGCAUGUGAAAAGAGCUUCAAAAGGAAGCGGGAAAUGCAGGAGCCUGCUCCCAUUUUGAUGAAGAAGAGCAUUGUUCAGGCAAAGCAUUUGACAAAGUCUCUCCAUCAUGAACCUCCAAAAGACUCCAGACACUCGGCGAGAAAAACUGGAGUUGGUUACAAGUGGUCAGAGAAGCAGAGGAAGAGGCCCAAUGAAACUGAAGGUACGUCGCAGGCUAUGCCAGCCUCACAUGAACUUCCCGUACAUAUUUGCCCAUGGUAGAAGAUGUGAGAAAGUGACUUUUUGGACCAGAAUGCCAAAACAUUCAGGAGAUAGAGGUGCCCAAAGUUGACGAUUUUGCAUACCCUACCGUACAUCCAUGUCUUCAUCACUGGAAAGGUACCUCUCUGAAUGCAAGCCUCCCUCACGGUCACCAUCCAGGUUCCUCUCAGGAUGUAAGCCUCCCUCACGGUCACCAUCCAGGUUCCUCUCAGAAUGUAAGCCCCCAUCGUGGUUACCAUUCAUCCUCCAGCCAAGGGAGAAGAGUUGAGCCAAUGGCCAGUCACCAUAGCUCUCCUGUGGGCGAAUGGAACGAGCGGUGGUCAGGAGAUUUGUAAGCAUAUCAGUCGGCUCUGACAGGAUACACGAGACGGGAACAGUAGUUGAUGGCAACUGGCAAAGACAAUACUUUUACCUCAAACCUGACAUUAUUCAUAUGCUGUUCUUUAAAAAAAACUUAACAUUACAGACAGCCAUAUUUAGGCUACAUUAUGCAGUUUACUUUUCUACAUGUUUUUAUCUGUUUUUAAACGAAUAGACAUCUGAUUUCUCUCCCUAUAUUAGGUUCGGUUAGCUGUGGUUGAAACCGUCAGACGUAUGUUUUAUAUACCAUGUGUUACUGUUACUCUUGACACCUAAGGGUGAUUGGUGUCCGGUUACUCGUACUCUUAUAGUAUUGUUUGCCUACAUUGUUAGAGCGUCAUAGUGAUUGAAUCAUCAUAGUGAUUGAAUCAUCAUAGUGAUGGUAUUGUACAUUGUAUUAAGUUUGUUUAGUCUUUUUUUUAAAUUGACUAUUUGUUUUAUUGCAGCCAGAACCAAAGCUAAAGGGGAGAAACCAGACUGAGCUUAUUGUUUUAUGAGAUUCUGCUGUCUCAUACACAAAGAAAUGUGUCAAUUGUAACAUUUUUUUUUUUAACACUGGUGAUAAAAUGAAUCAUAGAUAUCCGUCAUCAAAUGAUAUUUGAAGCCAUUGUCACUUUGUUUGAUGUGGUUCCUUGGACUGGCUUUACAGUUAUCUGUGGCCGUAGAUGUUGCUUGUAGUUAAAUUCAACUACUGCUAAUGUUUUGGCUAUUGUGGAAUGGUGUGUACUUUACAGGUCACUGGUUUUAUACUCCGUCUUAAACAUUGGUCGAAAUGCCAUUUUUGUUUUUAAUAUUUGUCCGUUUUGAUAUUGUACUGUUUUAUUUUACCUCUGAUGUUUACUGUGUUGUUAUUGCACUGAACUAAUAUAUAAAUACAGAAUAUGUUUUUGUUGUAACCUGUCCUCUCAGACUACACAGCAUCCAAGGAAGAGAAUUGUAUUAUUUACCCUUCACCACCAGCCAAAGACCACAUUUGAGACACACACAGUUACGCCACCAGAGGGAAGCAAAGUACAAUGUUAAUGUUCCUUUCAUUUCAGUCACUCGCUUGUGCAAGGCUUCUCCCUUCUCCUAUGUGUUGAGACUUGAGAGACUCACAUAGGUGAGUGGAUCAGAACAGAUAACAGAAUCUUCAGUCAUGUUUUCUGUUUCUACACAACACUUAUUGUGCAUUUAUUGAAGAAAGCCAAGCGGAAACUGCUGCCUACAAGGACCAAGGGUGGUGGAGGCCUGUUGAGAAUGUAUAGAAUAUAUAAGGCAUGAGGGUGUGUGGUAUAUGGCCCGCGUUGUGUCAUGCCUAAGAACAGCUCUUAGCUGUGGUAUAUAAAAUAAAAAUCCUUUAUUUAACUAGGCAAGUCAUUUAAGAACAAAUUAUUAUUUACAAUGACAGCAUACACCAACCAAACCUGGGCCAAUUGUGCACAGCAUGGAUUCGAAGCAGGGUGUCGGUAGUGACACCUCUAGCACUGAGAUGCGGUCUAAGGCACUGCUGCGCCAUUCAGGAGCCACAAAAUUGGUCAUAUACCACAAAUCCCCGAGGUGCCUUAUUGCAAUUAUAAACUCGUUACCAAAGUAAUUAGAGCAGUACAAAUAACUUUGUCAUACCCGUGAUAUACCGUCUGAUAUAACACGGCUGUCAGCCCAUCAACGUUCAGGGCUCAAUCCACCCAGUUUAUAAUAAAAGAUAUCUUUUCACGAGUUGAAAAGUCCUAAACUUGCA
Molecule: RNA transcript, 7726 nt
Organism: Oncorhynchus tshawytscha (Chinook salmon)
Lineage: Eukaryota; Metazoa; Chordata; Actinopteri; Salmoniformes; Salmonidae
Exons: 5
Source: RefSeq, a predicted model, not a curated record